UACAUGAGCACUUGUAAGCGUCUGAUUGAAGAUGAAGGAAAUACCAAAAAGUGAAACUACGCCUGAACAGUUGUUUUUGUAGAUAAGUAUUAGUGGUAUGGAAGUGACAAUAAAUCUAUUGUAUAAAUUACAUACGGGCAGAUCAUACAAAAAUGAUAACAACGCAAUAAUUAACACGAACCCAAAAAAAAAACCUUACCGAAGACCGAGUUGUUCAUGAGUUUGAAGAAGUUCUUCUCGAAAGCAGUCUUGGCUUGUUGUCGCAUUUUGGUGUUGAACUCAACGUAGGGUUUCAUGAAAGCCUCUUGUUGGAACUCUAAUACUUUAUGUAUUUUUUUCAAUUUUAGACGGAGUUGGAGAUACAGUUGCAGGUUGCGAUAGUGAAGUACAUAAUUCUGUUUGUUUUCUAAAGUGAUGAUGGUGUUCUUGCAGUGGAAGUUGGUGUUGAUGAUGGUGUUCUUGCAGUCGAAGAUGGUGUAGAUAAUUGACUGUAGUUGUGUUCAUUUUGAAGGUGCGGACUUGGAGAGAGCGGUGUUCUUGCAGUAGAAGAUGGUGUAGAUAGCUGACUGUAGCUGUGCUCGUUGUGAAGUGGUGAGAAGUCCUGUUGUAUGAUCUACAUUGCUUGUUGAAGAGGAGCUUUGGGUGUCGCUGCUUGGAGGUCGAAAGACAAUCAACGUCUGAGAGGGAAAUAUGUUGGUGCGCAAUUUAUACAACUUGUUUGAAUGUGGGCUUACAUCAACGACAGCAAGACUUUGCGAUCGACACUCUACUCUGUCAAAUGGAUAUUUAGCUGUGCUGUUUUUCAACAACUCUGCAUGAGCUACAAUAAGAGCUGGAUUGACUCUUACCUUCUUUGCUAUUCGCUUUUCGCUUGAUUUACAAUUUGCUGUGUGGGGGAAGUCACGUUCAAUGUCAAGUCGCUGCUCUCUGCGGAAGCCUUAUGAGAUCAUCCGGGGAUAUCGCCAUAUUGAAAACCCGCCAGAGGUUCGGUCCACGUCCAUGGUGCUCGGGAUGAGUCAUUGGAGGACGAAGAUCGGGUGUCCUUAUGCUGCCAUGAAAUGUCGUUUUUAUGAUGUCCAAUUAUGUUCAAAAAUAAACAACUUGGAGAAUGUG
Molecule: long non-coding RNA, 1113 nt
Organism: Mya arenaria
Lineage: Eukaryota; Metazoa; Mollusca; Bivalvia; Myida; Myidae
Exons: 6
Source: RefSeq, a predicted model, not a curated record